AGAGUUUGAUCCUGGCUCAGGACGAACGCUGGCGGCGUGCCUAAUGCAUGCAAGUCGAGCGGGCUACGAUCUUCGGAUUGUAGCUUAGCGGCGAACGCGUGAGUAACACGUAGGUAAUCUACCCUUCAGAGGAGGACAACCUCAGGAAACUGAGGCUAAACCUUCAUACGUUCACUGGUAGGGAUACUGGUGAAGAAAGAGUUACCUUAGUGGUAGCUGCUGAAGGAUGAGCCUGCGGCCCAUCAGGUAGUUGGUGAGGUAACGGCUCACCAAGCCGAAGACGGGUAACCGGUCUGAGAGGAUGUCCGGUCACACUGGGACUGAGACACGGCCCAGACUCCUACGGGAGGCAGCAGCAGGGAAUCUUGGGCAAUGGGCGAAAGCCUGACCCAGCGACGCCGCGUGGAGGAAGAAGUCCUUCGGGGCGUAAACUCCUGGACUGGGGGACGAGUAAGGACGGUACCCCAGUAGAAAGGGACGGCUAACUACGUGCCAGCAGCCGCGGUAAAACGUAGGUCCCGAGCGUUGUUCGGAUUCACUGGGUGUAAAGGGCGCGUAGGUGGUUGUCUGUGUCUCAUGUGAAAACUCAGGGCUCAACUCUGAGAUUGCGUGGGAAACUAGGCAGCUAGAGGACGGUAGAGGGGAGUGGAAUUCCCGGUGUAGCGGUAAAAUGCGUAGAUAUCGGGAGGAACACCGGUGGCGAAGGCGGCUCUCUGGGCCGAUCCUGACGCUGAGGCGCGAAAGCUAGGGGAGCGAACCGGAUUAGAUACCCGGGUAGUCCUAGCCGUAAACGAUGGGUGCUAGGUGUUGGGGGGUAAAGACCCUUCAGUGCCGAAGCCAACGCGAUAAGCAUCCCACCUGGGGAGUACGGCCGCAAGGUUGAAACUCAAAUGAAUUGACGG
RNAcentral lists this ribosomal RNA (902 nucleotides) under uncultured bacterium. RNAcentral's name for it is "bacterial SSU rRNA". It matches the Rfam family "Bacterial small subunit ribosomal RNA", at positions 8 to 916 of the family's 1533-position model. The record is from RNAcentral.